This 400-nucleotide ribosomal RNA is filed under the name uncultured bacterium. Its description in RNAcentral is "bacterial SSU rRNA". It matches the Rfam family "Bacterial small subunit ribosomal RNA", at positions 975 to 1375 of the family's 1533-position model. The record is from RNAcentral.
CAAGACUUGACAUCCAAAGAAUCCACAAGAGAUUGAGGAGUGCCCUUCGGGGAACUUUGAGACAGGUGGUGCAUGGUUGUCGUCAGCUCGUGUCGUGAGAUGUUGGGUUAAGUCCCGCAACGAGCGCAACCCUUGUCGUUAGUUGCUACCAUUAAGUUGAGCACUCUAGCGAGACUGCCGGGGUUAACUCGGAGGAAGGUGGGGAUGACGUCAAAUCAUCAUGCCCCUUAUGUCCUGGGCUACACACGUGCUACAAUGGCCGGUACAAAGAGAAGCAAGACCGCGAGGAGGAGCAAAUCUCAAAAACCGGUCCCAGUUCGGAUUGCAGGCUGCAACUCGCCUGCAUGAAGCUGGAGUUGCUAGUAAUCGUGAAUCAGAAUGUCACGGUGAAUGCGUUCCC